This 579-nucleotide ribosomal RNA is filed under the name uncultured bacterium. RNAcentral describes it as "bacterial SSU rRNA". It matches the Rfam family "Bacterial small subunit ribosomal RNA", at positions 249 to 844 of the family's 1533-position model. The record is from RNAcentral.
UUGGUGGGGUAACGGCUCACCAAGGCAACGAUCAGUAGCCGACCUGAGAGGGUAAUCGGCCACAUUGGAACUGAGACACGGUCCAAACUCCUACGGGAGGCAGCAGUGGGGAAUAUUGCACAAUGGGCGAAAGCCUGAUGCAGCAACGCCGCGUGAGCGAUGAAGGCCUUUGGGUCGUAAAGCUCUGUCCUUGGGGAAGAAAAAAAUGACGGUACCCUUGGAGGAAGCCCCGGCUAACUACGUGCCAGCAGCCGCGGUAAUACGUAGGGGGCAAGCGUUAUCCGGAAUUAUUGGGCGUAAAGAGUGCGUAGGUGGUUUUGUAAGCGCGGGGUGAAAGGCUAUGGCUCAACCAUAGUAAGCCUUGCGAACUGUGAGACUUGAGUGCAGGAGAGGAAAGUGGAAUUCCUAGUGUAGCGGUGAAAUGCGUAGAUAUUAGGAGGAACACCAGUGGCGAAGGCGACUUUCUGGACUGUAACUGACACUGAGGCACGAAAGCGUGGGGAGCAAACAGGAUUAGAUACCCUGGUAGUCCACGCCGUAAACGAUGAGCACUAGGUGUCGGGGCCGCAAGGUUUCGGU